This 484-nucleotide ribosomal RNA is filed under the name uncultured bacterium. RNAcentral's name for it is "partial 16S ribosomal RNA". It matches the Rfam family "Bacterial small subunit ribosomal RNA", at positions 30 to 507 of the family's 1533-position model. The record is from RNAcentral.
AUUGAACGCUGGCGGCAUGCCUAACACAUGCAAGUCGAGCGGAUGAAGGGAGCUUGCUCCUGGAUUCAGCGGCGGACGGGUGAGUAAUGCCUAGGAAUCUGCCUGGUAGUGGGGGAUAACGUCCGGAAACGGGCGCUAAUACCGCAUACGUCCUGAGGGAGAAAGUGGGGGAUCUUCGGACCUCACGCUAUCAGAUGAGCCUAGGUCGGAUUAGCUAGUUGGUGGGGUAAAGGCCUACCAAGGCGACGAUCCGUAACUGGACUGAGAGGAUGAUCAGUCACACUGGAACUGAGACACGGUCCAGACUCCUAAGGGAGGCAGCAGUGGGGAAUAUUGGACAAUGGGCGAAAGCCUGAUCCAGCCAUGCGGCGUGUGUGAAGAAGGUCUUCGGAUUGUAAAGCACGUUAAGUUGGGAGGAAGGGCAGUAAGUUAAUACCUUGCUGUUUUGACGUUACCAACAGAAUAAGCACCGGCUAACUUCGUG